This 787-nucleotide long non-coding RNA is filed under the name Musa acuminata (dwarf banana). Its description in RNAcentral is "long non-coding RNA (MACU_LNC004407)". The record is from RNAcentral. Lineage: Eukaryota; Viridiplantae; Streptophyta; Magnoliopsida; Zingiberales; Musaceae.
CCCUGUCGUCGUCUCCUUGUGAGUGAAGGGCUGGGAAGAGUAGGGGAGGUUUAUAUGUCAGUGCAGGGAGAAGACGAGGCGUUGUUGGGGCUCUACAUCGUGAAUUUGCUACGAAGGUGCGUUGUGGUCAAGCAAAAGGGGGGCGCAAAGUCAACGUGGACUUAUUCUUCGUUAGAGAACGAUGACGGACGGCAUCGUUUCCUUCGAUCAUCAGCACCUGCGUCAGCUGCAAAUCGAAAUUUCUACGUGCCUUGUGGCAGAGUUUUGAGCCGACGACAAACUAAGUUUUGUCCGCCAACUGGUGCUGCCCUCGCUCCUUUCUCGGUAAGUUAAACGCAGGGUUUCACCUUCUUCUUCUUCCUCCUCGUUGACCCCAAACUACCGGCCUCUAUUGGUCGUCAUUUAUUGAUUCCUCUCCGUAAAUGCUCUCUCGCCAGGACCGCGUCAGAUGCCAACGCGUUGUACUCGUGUCGUACGCCCAUUGAGAAAUGAUGCUGGGGACCCCACGGAUGGGGUCAUGAGUUCCCGGCCUUAUUGGUGGUUCGCUAACAUGCCAUGCCGACCAUCGGACCGUUAGCACGUCAGAUGAAUGCGGUGGGCCGACGGGCACAUCAACUCCAUCAAGAGGUUGGUGAAGAGAAAUGAAUCCGACUGUAAGUGGUGCUCCCAUCACGACCAAAGUUGGUGCAAAGAUUUUGACGACCGAGAACAUUUUUCUUUCUUGUUUAGAGUGAUUGUUUUUGAUGAUACAUGUCAUCGGCAGUGUUGUUCUGACUGUCAUAUCUCU